CCUACGGGUGCACCAGUGGGGAAUUUUGGACAAUGGGGGCAACCCUGAUCCAGCCAUGCCGCGUGAGUGAAGAAGGCCUUCGGGUUGUAAAGCUCUUUCGGCCGGGAAGAAAUCGCACGGGCUAAUACCCUGUGUGGAUGACGGUACCGGAAUAAGAAGCACCGGCUAACUACGUGCCAGCAGCCGCGGUAAUACGUAGGGUGCGAGCGUUAAUCGGAAUUACUGGGCGUAAAGCGUGCGCAGGCGGUUUAGUAAGACAGGCGUGAAAUCCCCGGGCUCAACCUGGGAACUGCGCUUGUGACUGCUAAGCUAGAGUACGGCAGAGGGGGGUGGAAUUCCACGUGUAGCAGUGAAAUGCGUAGAGAUGUGGAGGAACACCGAUGGCGAAGGCAGCCCCCUGGGCCGAUACUGACGCUCAUGCACGAAAGCGUGGGUAGCAA
RNAcentral lists this ribosomal RNA (440 nucleotides) under uncultured bacterium. RNAcentral describes it as "bacterial SSU rRNA". It matches the Rfam family "Bacterial small subunit ribosomal RNA", at positions 338 to 771 of the family's 1533-position model. The record is from RNAcentral.